Molecule: long non-coding RNA, 569 nt
Organism: Equus caballus (horse)
Lineage: Eukaryota; Metazoa; Chordata; Mammalia; Perissodactyla; Equidae
Source: RefSeq, a predicted model, not a curated record
UGUAAGCAGGCAAGAGAGGUUGAGAAGAAACUGAAAUGUUGAUUUUGUGGUGAGGUGCUCCCCAUGGCUCUGAAUCAUAGCAUGCUUACCUCUUCAGCUUUCUCUCACACUACACCCAGACUUUAGCCCAACAUUCCAACCACUCUGGCAGUUUCCAAAAUACAGAAGGUUCUUUCACCACCCAUUGGUACCACUGGCUGGAAUGUUCUUUCCUCUUCUUUGUUUGAGAACCUCCUGCCACCGCCAGGGUGCAACCCAAAUAUUGCAGACUCUUGAAGCUGCUAGAAAACCCUCCAAGGUAAUCAGAGAACAGAGGCAAACAGGAAAGAAGGUGUGGAGGAAAUAUCACGGUGUGGUUUUGUGUGUACAGCUGACCCCUGCUGCUUGUGGUCCGAAUUAAGAAAAGCUGCACAGUCACCCCAAAACCGGAACUUUUAAAGUCACUCUGCAAGUUCUAGUUGAACAGAUAUUUCUCAAGAAUGCCAGCUGGAAAGGAGGAUGGAAGGCUGUGAGGGACACAGAAAAAAGAUACCAAGGGUUAUAAAUAAAUAAAAAAAUCAUUUCUUUAA